UACAGAGGGUGCGAGCGUUAAUCGGAAUUACUGGGCGUAAAGGGCGCGUAGGCGGCUUGACAAGUCACUUGUGAAAUCUCCGGGCUUAACUCGGAACGGCCAAGUGAAACUGUCAUGCUAGAGUGCAGAAGGGGCAAUCGGAAUUCUUGGUGUAGCGGUGAAAUGCGUAGAUAUCAAGAGGAACACCUGAGGUGAAGACGGGUUGCUGGGCUGACACUGACGCUGAGGCGCGAAAGCCAGGGGAGCAAACGGG
RNAcentral lists this ribosomal RNA (253 nucleotides) under uncultured bacterium. RNAcentral describes it as "partial 16S ribosomal RNA". It matches the Rfam family "Bacterial small subunit ribosomal RNA", at positions 524 to 776 of the family's 1533-position model. The record is from RNAcentral.